RNAcentral lists this ribosomal RNA (253 nucleotides) under uncultured bacterium. RNAcentral's name for it is "partial 16S ribosomal RNA". It matches the Rfam family "Bacterial small subunit ribosomal RNA", at positions 524 to 776 of the family's 1533-position model. The record is from RNAcentral.
UACGUAGGGUGCGAGCGUUGUCCGGAAUCACUGGGCGUAAAGCGCACGUAGGCGGAUGUGUCAGUCAGGGGUGAAAUCCCGGAGCUCAACUUCGGAACUGCCUCUGAUACAGCACGUCUUGAGUCCGAGAGAGGUGGGUGGAAUUCCUAGUGUAGAGGUGAAAUUCGUAGAUAUUAGGAAGAACACCAGUGGCGAAGGCGGCCCACUGGCUCGGUACUGACGCUGAGGUGCGAAAGCGUGGGGAGCAAACAGG